AUGCACGCUGGCGGCGUGCCUCAUACAUGCAAGUCGAGCGAACGGACGAGAAGCUUGCUUCUCUGAUGUUAGCGGCGGACGGGUGAGUAACACGUGGAUAACCUACCUAUAAGACUGCGAUAACUUCGGGAAACCGGAGCUAAUACCGGAUAAUAUUUUGAACCGCAUGGUUCAAAAGUGAAAGACGGUCUUGCUGUCACUUAUAGAUGGAUCCGCGCUGCAUUAGCUAGUUGGUAAGGUAACGGCUUACCAAGGCAACGAUGCAUAGCCGACCUGAGAGGGUGAUCGGCCACACUGGAACUGAGACACGGUCCAGACUCCUACGGGAGGCAGCAGUAGGGAAUCUUCCGCAAUGGGCGAAAGCCUGACGGAGCAACGCCGCGUGAGUGAUGAAGGUCUUCGGAUCGUAAAACUCUGUUAUUAGGGAAGAACAUAUGUGUAAGUAACUGUGCACAUCUUGACGGUACCUAAUCAGAAAGCCACGGCUAACUACGCG
This 496-nucleotide ribosomal RNA is filed under the name uncultured bacterium. RNAcentral's name for it is "partial 16S ribosomal RNA". It matches the Rfam family "Bacterial small subunit ribosomal RNA", at positions 29 to 507 of the family's 1533-position model. The record is from RNAcentral.